ACUGUAAUGGCCUGACCACUAAGUAUAACCGACGAUUGGGCUCAAGCAGAAAAGACUAUCAGGUGCUGAUACUUUAAUCAAGAGUCAAUCUAACAAAUGGUAAAAUGCUGAAAAACAAAUAAAAUACAAUUUUACAAUGUGUUCAAUUAAUGUUAUUAUAACGAAAUGUCAAAGGUAAUUGAUAGCACAGUCCGUUGAAUGCGAGAAAAUGUUGUACUUUCAAGAACAGUUACAUUC
RNAcentral lists this long non-coding RNA (237 nucleotides) under Mytilus galloprovincialis (Mediterranean mussel). The record is from RNAcentral. Lineage: Eukaryota; Metazoa; Mollusca; Bivalvia; Mytilida; Mytilidae.